Molecule: ribosomal RNA, 279 nt
Filed under: uncultured bacterium
Lineage: Bacteria
Description: partial 16S ribosomal RNA
Rfam family: Bacterial small subunit ribosomal RNA
Source: RNAcentral
UGCCAGCAGCCGCGGUAAUACGAAGGGGGCGAGCGUUGUUCGGAAUUACUGGGCGUAAAGGGCGCGUAGGCGGUCAUUUAAGUUAGGCGUGAAAGCCCCGGGCUCAACCCGGGAACUGCGCUUAAAACUGAGUGACUAGAAAACGGAAGAGGGUAGUGGAAUUCCCAGUGUAGAGGUGAAAUUCGUAGAUAUUGGGAAGAAUACCAGUGGCGAAGGCGGCUCACUGGCUCGAUACUGACGCUGAGGUACGAAAGUGUGGGGAGCAAACAGGAUUAGAUA